CAAGAGACUGCUGAUGCUUUGCUGAUUGGGGAUUGCUCUGCUUUUGCUUUCUAGUAGUAGUGGUCUUAGUAGUCUUUGUAGUAGUCUUAGUAGUCUUAGUAGUAGUCUUAGUAGUAGUCUUAGUCUUAGUAGUAGUCUUAGUCUUAGUAGUAGUCUUAGUCUUAGUAGUAGUCUUAGUCUUAGUAGUUUUAGUCUUAGUAGUCUUAGUCUUAGUAGUAGUCUUAGUCUUAGUAAAAGUCUUAGUCUUAGUCUUAGUCUUAGUCUUAGUAGUUGUCUUAGCA
This 281-nucleotide long non-coding RNA is filed under the name Volvox carteri. RNAcentral's name for it is "long non-coding RNA (VCAR_LNC004392)". Lineage: Eukaryota; Viridiplantae; Chlorophyta; Chlorophyceae; Chlamydomonadales; Volvocaceae. The record is from RNAcentral.